GUGCCAGCCGCCGCGGUAAUACGGGGGGGGCAAGCGUUGUUCGGAAUUACUGGGCGUAAAGGGUGCGUAGGCGGCUCUCUAAGUCGGAUGUGAAAACUCUGGGCUCAACCCAGAGACUGCAUCUGAAACUGGAGGGCUAGGGUGCUGGAGGGGAAAGCGGAAUUCCUGGUGUAGCGGUGAAAUGCGUAGAUAUCAGGAGGAACACCGGUGGCGAAGGCGGCUUUCUGGACAGUAACCGACGCUGAGGCACGAAAGCUAGGGGAGCAAACAGGAUUAGAAACCCCCGUAGUCC
This 292-nucleotide ribosomal RNA is filed under the name uncultured bacterium. RNAcentral describes it as "partial 16S ribosomal RNA". It matches the Rfam family "Bacterial small subunit ribosomal RNA", at positions 505 to 796 of the family's 1533-position model. The record is from RNAcentral.